Molecule: ribosomal RNA, 460 nt
Filed under: uncultured bacterium
Lineage: Bacteria
Description: partial 16S ribosomal RNA
Rfam family: Bacterial small subunit ribosomal RNA
Source: RNAcentral
CCUACGGGUGGCAGCAGUGAGGAAUAUUGGUCAAUGGGCUUAAGCCUGAACCAGCCAAGUCGCGUGAGGGAAGAAUGCCCUAUGGGUUGUAAACCUCUUUUGUCAGGGAGCAACGCCGGGUACGUGUCGCCGGCCUGAGAGUACCCGGAGAAAAAGCAUCGGCUAACUCCGUGCCAGCAGCCGCGGUAAUACGGAGGAUGCGAGCGUUAUCCGGAUUUAUUGGGUUUAAAGGGUGUGUAGGCGGGAUGCCAAGUCAGCGGUAAAAUCGCGGGGCUCAACCUCGCUCCGCCGUUGAAACUGGCGGUCUUGAGUGGGCGAGAAGAAUGCGGAAUGCGUGGUGUAGCGGUGAAAUGCAUAGAUAGCACGCAGAACCCCGAUUGCGAAGGCAGCAUUCCGGCGCCCAACUGACGCUGAGGCACGAAAGCGUGGGGAUCGAACAGGAUUAGAUACCCCAGUAGUC